AAGUCGUAACAAGGUUUCCGUAGGUGAACCUGCGGAAGGAUCAUUAAAAAAUGUUGGAUUAUACACAGUGCAAGAGAAGACACAUUUAUAUUAGUUGAUUUAAUUAUAUAAACAACUUUUAGCAACGGAUCUCUUGGCUCUC
RNAcentral lists this unclassified non-coding RNA (142 nucleotides) under fungal sp. RNAcentral describes it as "partial internal transcribed spacer region". The stretch from base 1 to 46 matches the Rfam family "Eukaryotic small subunit ribosomal RNA", at positions 1786 to 1831 of the family's 1831-position model. The record is from RNAcentral. Lineage: Eukaryota; Fungi.